AAAGCAAGGAGAAACGAUGUUUACUGGCCCCCUCUCUCUGGCUUCUCUUCACCUAGCUUUCUUACACAACCCAGGGCCACCUGCCAGGGUGAUACCACUCACAGUGGGCCGGGUCCUCCCCCAUCAAUCAUUAAUCAAGACGAUUUCCCACAAACAUGGCAACCUCCCUCGGCUGAAACUCCCUCUUCGCAGGUGACUCGGUUAAGUCAACAAAUCAAAACUGUCCGGGACAGGCUCCUUCAGCUUACAAAUAGACUGGAGGCUCAUAGGGACAGAAUUCAGAUGUUCUCUCCAUAAAUACCCUGAAGAAAAUGAAAA
Molecule: long non-coding RNA, 318 nt
Filed under: Rattus norvegicus (Norway rat)
Lineage: Eukaryota; Metazoa; Chordata; Mammalia; Rodentia; Muridae
Description: long non-coding RNA NONRATT018727
Source: RNAcentral